UUACUAUUCAUUUCAAAAACAUGUGCUGCUCACAUGUUCUCACUCCCAUUUCACUGCACGCUUCAUUCACGUGAUGGAAUGCUUCCUUCUCCUCCUCAAUCUCGCAGCUCCUUAGUUGGUCUCAAAAUUCAAUCCAUUUCUGCACUUGCUCUUCCUCUCUCCUUUUUUUGCGAUCUCAUCUUUUCUCUCUCCUCUUCUACGCCUGCAAUCAGAUCUUCUUCCCCUGUAAUCAGAUCUUCUUCCCCAUAUGAAGGCUAAUUUCACAAGCAAGCAUCAUCUAAGGUAUGAGUUGUUUAUUUUUUUUUAUUUUUUUUCUGAUUUUCGUUCAUAUGGGAAAACCUAGAAAUGGAUCUCUUAUCUAGCUUCUUCAUGUUUUGGUUUGUUUAAGUUUGAUGUGCGUUUUGCAAUUAUUUUUUGUUCACUUCUUGAUUUGAUUUUGGGUUCCUCAUAUUUAUGAAUCUUUUAGAUCUAUUGUAUGUUUUUCUGAAAUCGAGUGGAAAAUUAUGUCAAACUUGGAUCAACAAAGCAUGAACUGAUUGAAUUUCACCCUUUUGAGUGAAUUGUGAUUGAAUUUUGAGUGAAUUUUGAUUGAAUUUUGGGACGACCAAUCUGAAAUUGAUUACUUUUACUGUUGAUGUGAAAUUAGGGUUUCGGAUUUUUUUUGCAGAGAACUGUGUAUCCUCUUGAUUUCUUCAUCUUCGUUUGAGGUGUUGUCGUCAUCCUCCAUUACGGCUUCGCAACAGCAGCAACAACAGCAACAUUUCAACGACAACAACAACAUUAGAGAUAAGUUAGUGUUUAAUGCUUGACUUUUUUUAUCUAAAUUUUGGAUUUUGGGAUUUUUUUAGUUGUAUUUCCUAGCUGAGGAAUCGCUGUUGUAUUCUCUUUCUCUGGUUUUUUUUGCCAUUGCUAUGGAGUUUUCUGUUUCUUUAGGUGAAAUGCUCUUGAAAACAAGGAGCUUGUUUAUCGAAAGUUACUGGUAUUGGAUUAGUGGUGGUGCAUUACUAUGAUUUUGGUGAUUUGUUUUGGGGUUUUAAAGCUAAAAAAUUGUGAUGAGGAACACAGGAGGAAGAAGAAGAGAAGUUGGAUGGUGGUUGUGGUGGCGCCAGGGAGGAGACCGAAGGAAGCAGGAAGAAGGAAGAAGAAUGGAGGAGGACAGGGAGAGCUAUUGUAAGUUAUUCUUCAUCUUAGACAUUUUUUUUCGCUAUGUUCAGAUGCUUUUUAUUGCUAAAUUAUUGAAAAUGUGACAAAAAAUUGGAGUAAAUGUUUGAAAAUCAGAUGAUUUUUAUUGCUAAAUUAUUGAAAAUGUGACAACUAAUGGUUUCAUACUGGGUAUGUGAUUUUUUCUUUUUGCACUUUAUAUUUAAAGGUCACAUGUUUGAUUGGCGAAAUCUUACUAUGAAUGGAGUUGGCUCACCUAUCCAUGAAUUUCAGUUCCAUGAAUUCCACCCUAAACUACUCCCUAAACUAAUCCACAAAUUUGAGUUUCCUCUUGGUAUGUUUAUUUGUAUCUGAAUUCCAGUUCACAUUUCAAUUUCGUGUGGCUCUUUUCUUUUGAAUGAACUUGAUUAGAAGUUCGCAAACCAAACCCACCUUCGCUCCAAUCUCUCUCUCCGUUCAGGUAUUCUUCUUUCAUUUAUAGGUUGGAUAAUUGUGGUGAGCUUCUUUUGUUUAUCUCAUUGAUAUUUUGGACUUGGACCAUGAAACAACAGCUUACAGUUUUGUUGCCAUCUUUGUUGAAUUUUGAUAAAAACAAGCUUUAGAGUUGUGUUAUUUAUGAAAUUAUUGUUGGUUUUUUCUGCUUUGGUGAUUUCGGGCCUUUUCUCAAAGCAUGGAAUUGAACUUGUGUGUGUUGGGGCUCUUCUGCUUGCAAGAUUAGUGACAACUGAAAAGGUGCAUGUUUGUAUUACACAUAUUUGAUACGUGAAGGAGUAUGGUUAAGUUUAUAAGUAUAUCGUGAUUGUUUAGCUGGUGCAGUCAUGAGUCCUACCUUUCUUUUCUCCCCAAGAAUUCAAGAUCGAAACUAACUGGUUUUUAGGGCUUCAUGCUGCCUCACGUGCUUUACUCACGAUAUUAUAUGAUAGAAUGGAGGAAUUUGUUUCCAUCCAUGCUGAAAAAAUAGUGAUCAAGUUUACUAAUCUGAUAAGCUUUUGUUUCCAAGCUUUGUUUCCCCCUCUUUUUUUUUUAUCCCUUUUCCUGUUUCGCUGUCUAAUUUUUCUCUCCUUCUGGAUAUGUCUUUGUACAGAUGCUUUCAUCCAAGGACAUGAGUUUUGUGGGCUACACUUACUGUUUCCACCGAUUUCUUCUUAGAAUUUUGCUCUGAUAUAUCUCACAACCAAAAAACUUUGGCAGUAUACACAUAAACAACCCUUUUAAUUGAAGAAAGUGGUUAGGUUUAGCCGUUUAGUCCUCAUUUCAUCAUCUUCAUUCGUCUCUUCUUCUAAACACUCUUUUCUUUGGUUGAUUACACCUUUUUUUGGGUCAUGUGUCUUCACUCAUUGAUUAAAUUGCACUAAAACACACUCUUUUUCACACUUUUUGCAACAUUUGGUCCUCUUAAAACCAAAAGAUUGAGAAUUUUAUUUUAAAGGUUCAAAUUUUCUCCCAACUUGAAGCUUUUGAAGUGGAAAUUUGGACUUUCUGUAAUCUGGGUUUUUAAAUUUUGGAGGUGGGGUUUUUAAUUUUGGAACUUAUAAUGCUUGUUUUAGGAGGUGGGUCUUGUGGUUUCUUCUGUUUGAUGGGUUUUUUGCCUUGCAAUUAAAUUUCUAGAAGAGAAGAAUAUUCUGUUCCAAUGGCUUGAUAAUUGGGCCUGAAGAAUUUUCAAUCAUUUUGGGGAGGGUUUGCUGAUGAAUGAGACAUGGAUAAAAUUAUUCAACAUCCUUUGUGAAGUUGCUCCUCGAUAAUUGCUGUGAGAUGAGCCAAUGAUAACAAACAAAGAAUCCAAGCUGGCAGGGUAUUUGAAACUCUUCUUAUGUCUUAGAAACGGUGCCUUUAUAACGUUUUUAUCGAUUUUUUCGCCCUUGUUAGUAAAACAUCUUGAGUUAGCCAUGUAUUUAGGUCUCUAUUUUGCAAUCAUAAAUACUAGAUAGAAGUUGCAUAGUGCUAGAAAUUUCAAGGAGUUUUUUUUUUUUUACAUUUAAAAUAUUACUUUAGUUAACAUUGUAGUGAUACCCGGCAAAGCUUUUGUGAUGCAAUGGGUUCCAUGUAAACUAGAGAUGAGAUUUAGCCAGUUGUCUUUGAUAAAAGUUGCACCAAGUGAGGGUCAUAUUACAUAAGAUAGCUGAGUACAUCAAAAAUGUCUGCUUCAAGGUCCAGCUUCAAGGUCCAGCUUUUGCAUGCAUGUCAAGAGAGAGGCUAACACGAUGGCUCACAUGCUGGCUAAAUACGGAAUGGAAAUGGAGGAGAAUUCGAAAAUUCAUGUUCUUGUUCCGGAUUAGGUUUAAGGAGGCAAUGAAGAGGGAUUUGUUGGGUGUAACUAUUUUAGAGGCUUAGGGUGGGGACGGGUUUCCAUUUCGGAUGUGAUAUGAUGUUCCCAGUUGUCUGAGUGCAAGUGUGUGGGUAUUGGUAGUAUGACGAAACUGUUAAGUUGUAAGAAUGCUUAUGUUCAAUUAAUUUACAGCUCUGCAAUUAAAAAAGUGUGUUAAUAGUAGACUAGCAGAUGUUUCCAAUGAAAAGCGUGUUGCUGGAAAGGAAUUGUUUUUGUGGGUGUGUGAGUAUAUACUAUCUUGACUAGGAAAUUUAUUACAUACUCAUUUUUUUCUUUCAAGAUGAACUCAAUUUUUUCAACAAAGUUGUACAAGAAUUCAAGACCCUCCAGGCCAUACUCCUCAUACAAGCGUGCCAAAA
Beta vulgaris subsp. vulgaris (sugar beet) is the source of this 3846-nucleotide long non-coding RNA. RefSeq lists it as uncharacterized. The transcript has 4 exons. Lineage: Eukaryota; Viridiplantae; Streptophyta; Magnoliopsida; Caryophyllales; Amaranthaceae. The record is from RefSeq and is a predicted model, not a curated record.